Molecule: long non-coding RNA, 749 nt
Organism: Zingiber officinale
Lineage: Eukaryota; Viridiplantae; Streptophyta; Magnoliopsida; Zingiberales; Zingiberaceae
Exons: 6
Source: RefSeq, a predicted model, not a curated record
UCUUCUUCCAGCAGCUAGGGCGCGACAACUCUCCUCACCAGUGCAUCUUCUUCCUUCCUCACAACCGGCCGGCGGCUUCUUCAUCUUCCCUUUCCUCGUCGCCGGCCGGACCUCCACAGCCCACUUCCUCUUCUAGAUUUCCAGUGGCGACGGCAUAGGCGAACACGGCAGGGAGCAGCAGGCGACCGCGGCGAUUCUGACCAACUCCACCUCACCGGAGGGGUUCUCCGAACCCUCCCAAGCUGGCUACUCCUCUAUUUGAUACUAAAAUGCCAGAGGACCCUAAGAUGGCAUACACAGACCUAGAUAAUCUUCAAAUGGUGUUUUGAACGAAGAGUAGUGUUUGGUCUUGCAUUGUUAUGGUGUCUGAGUGUUGGCUUGGUCUCUGUUGGCUUGCUACAUAUCUAGAAAGCUCCAUGAUUUGUGCUAAGCUGAAGCGUAUCCAAUUUGGAUUUUCCAGCUCAAAAUAUCAGUAGAUUUGUUGUGGUAGUGCCUUAACAGGAUUUGAGGCUUCUCCAUUCAGGAAAAGACAAGUCCAGUAGAUACAAAAAUUACAAGAUCACAAGUUUGGAUUGAAGGUCACAACAAAAAAAAAUGGGAAGCCUAGUACUCAAGCUGUUGGAGAGAAAAUAGUGGACCUAAUUCGACCAAAUGAUGAAAUGCAGUUUCUCGAUGAUGCAAUAGAAAGUACGGUCGCAUGGUUAUCUAUAUUUAUAGUAUUGUGUGAUUGAUAUAUAUUAUACUAAUUU